AAAAGAGGGCUUGAUUGCAAGACAUACAGGGCGAGCAAGGAUGAAAAUCGGACUUAGUGAUCCGGUGGUUCUGCGUGGAAGGGCCAUCGCUCAACGGAUAAAAGCUACCCUGGGGAUAACAGGCUUAUCUCCCCCAAGAGUCCACAUCGACGGGGAGGUUUGGCACCUCGAUGUCGGCUCAUCACAUCCUGGGGCUGUAGUAGGUCCCAAGGGUUGGGCUGUUCGCCCAUUAAAGUGGUACGCGAGCUGGGUUCAGAACGUCGUG
RNAcentral lists this ribosomal RNA (265 nucleotides) under Clostridioides difficile. Its description in RNAcentral is "partial 23S ribosomal RNA". It matches the Rfam family "Bacterial large subunit ribosomal RNA", at positions 2359 to 2623 of the family's 2925-position model. Lineage: Bacteria; Bacillati; Bacillota; Clostridia; Peptostreptococcales; Peptostreptococcaceae. The record is from RNAcentral.